GACGAACGCUGGCGGCGUGCUUAACACAUGCAAGUCGAACGGAAAGGCCCUGCUUUUGUGGGGUGCUCGAGUGGCGAACGGGUGAGUAACACGUGAGUAACCUGCCCUUGACUUUGGGAUAACUUCAGGAAACUGGGGCUAAUACCGGAUAUGAGCUCCUGCUGCAUGGUGGGGGUUGGAAAGUUUCGGCGGUUGGGGAUGGACUCGCGGCUUAUCAGCUUGUUGGUGGGGUAGUGGCUUACCAAGGCUUUGACGGGUAGCCGGCCUGAGAGGGUGACCGGCCACAAUGGGACUGAGAGACGGCCCAGACGCCUACGGGAGGCAGCAGUGGGGAAUAUUGCACAAUGGGCGGAAGCGUGAUGCAGCAACGCCGCGUGCGGGAUGACGGCCUUCGGGUUGUAAACCGCUUUCGCCUGUGACGAAGCGUGAGUGACGGUAAUGGGUAAAGAAGCACCGGCUAACUACGUG
Molecule: ribosomal RNA, 468 nt
Filed under: uncultured bacterium
Lineage: Bacteria
Description: partial 16S ribosomal RNA
Rfam family: Bacterial small subunit ribosomal RNA
Source: RNAcentral